GGGGGUGUAGUUCAAUGGUAGAGCGCGUGCUUUGCAAGCACGAAGCUACCGGUUCAAGUCCGGUCACCUCCA
Molecule: transfer RNA, 72 nt
Filed under: Micromonas pusilla CCMP1545
Lineage: Eukaryota; Viridiplantae; Chlorophyta; Mamiellophyceae; Mamiellales; Mamiellaceae
Description: tRNA-Ala
Rfam family: tRNA
About the family: Transfer RNA (tRNA) molecules are approximately 80 nucleotides in length. Their secondary structure includes four short double-helical elements and three loops (D, anti-codon, and T loops). Further hydrogen bonds mediate the characteristic L-shaped molecular structure. tRNAs have two regions of fundamental functional importance: the anti-codon, which is responsible for specific mRNA codon recognition, and the 3' end, to which the tRNAs corresponding amino acid is attached (by aminoacyl-tRNA synthetases). tRNAs cope with the degeneracy of the genetic code in two manners: having more than one tRNA (with a specific anti-codon) for a particular amino acid; and 'wobble' base-pairing, i.e. permitting non-standard base-pairing at the 3rd anti-codon position.
Source: RNAcentral